This is a long non-coding RNA of Phyllopteryx taeniolatus (common seadragon), 1087 nucleotides long. RefSeq lists it as uncharacterized. Lineage: Eukaryota; Metazoa; Chordata; Actinopteri; Syngnathiformes; Syngnathidae. The transcript is spliced from 3 exons. The record is from RefSeq and is a predicted model, not a curated record.
GCAUGUGUACGUGGCAUUAUCACUUACAGUCACCGUUUUGAAAGGAAUCACACGCUCAGGCUGUAGAUAGAAGGUAAACAGUCAUCCAGGGUCGAAUUCUGGCUCAACUAUACAACUACACUGAACCCCUGUUUAUGUUCCAGAACGACCUGCAAAUGGUGAAAAUCUGCCACGUGGAGACAUUUGCUAGAGGAAUGAAAAGGGGGAAAAUAGAUUACAGUGCAAGGGAGUAAAGAGAAGAAUGAGAAGCUGGAAACACUAAAGAGAGUUCCCCACCGUAGCAGAGCGGGCUGCAAAAAAGAAGGGCCGCGGGCGUGCUGGAGCAUAGAUACUGUACAUGGAGAAAUGGAUGGACAGAAAAAAAUGAAGACAAUAGAAAAAGCUGGACCGACCGACAGACUGAUCGACGGUAUUGAGGGACCGAUGGACAGACUCACCGUCGGACCAACGGACGGACGGACCGAAUGCCUGACCAAUGGAAGGAUCGACCGACCGACCGACCGACCGACCGACGGAUACUGUGGACCAUCGACAUCAAACAGCAGCAAGCAAUCCUAAUUAAACUCCACGGUAUUUAUGUCUUAAAGAGGUGAGUAAGGAGACAUUCCCAUUUGUUUGGAGGGGGGCGGAACUGUGUGCAUGUGUCUUUUAAAGCAUUGUAAGGAUAAUUUCACCAAUCAUCAGUCAUUUCAGUAUCGAAAAGGCUGCAAAGAAAAGCUUUUUAAAUAGCAGACUAAUUGUUUUAAUGGUCUGUUCCACUCCCGCUCUCUCCCCCAUUCACAGCCUCUGUUCUCCUUCCUCACUGUAUUCUAACGACCUGCUCCCAUCUUUUUGUCUUCUCUUCUUGCACACGGACACGCAUUCGUGAGCGACAGGUUGAUGAGAAGUGUUUCGUUUCUUUUGUUUUUUGUUCAUUCAACAGACAAAAGGUGAGAAUGCCCAAGUUGACGCCCCAUUACGAAGAUUACACACACUUUUCGAGGUGGAUAUUUCAACAUUUUGAAGGGGUUGGAGUGUGACAUGCAGAAGAGGCAGAGAGCAAUGACUGAUGUAGAGGAGCAUCAUUCAAUUAGUCACAACAUGCCAU